Molecule: long non-coding RNA, 683 nt
Filed under: Cricetulus griseus (Chinese hamster)
Lineage: Eukaryota; Metazoa; Chordata; Mammalia; Rodentia; Cricetidae
Description: lncRNA (ENSCGRG00000025979.1)
Source: RNAcentral
GUUUCCUUGUCACGAGGUAGGCAUCUGACUUUCUGGUUUCUAGGACAAGGUCAUAGAAGCACAUGUUCGGCUGUUAUGUCUGCCGAAAGGGAAGCUGGUUCCUUCAGCCGAGGAAUCCAGAGUCAUGGACUGAAGAGCUACCGGGUUCUCAGCCUCCCAGGUUGUUGGAACCCUGAGAAAGGGGCCAGCUACAGAACCCAACCGAGUACCAGCUGUUCUGAUUCAUCUGCCAAGACAUCAAGCAUUGCUGCACCAAAGCAGGAGGUGGCUCUACUCCAUCUGCAUUCCUAGACUGGCCUGGACAUUGCCACCCGCGUGUCCACUGCUGGUCUUGUGGUAGCAGCAGGACCAUUGCUGAGCUGGGGGCAGCUAGUGAGGAGUGGGGCCACACAUGGAGAGGUGAGUCCAGGACCCCUGAACUAGAGGGUGCUCUCAGAACGUGGGUUGGAAAAGUGCUUUGCAAAGAUCUGGCAUGCCUGCAUCAGCCCUCCAGUUUGAGAUUAAACCCUAUAUUACCUUUUGAGGUUCCCCUACUCCCAGAGCUCCAAAUGGUUGCCUUUCACACAGUAUAUGAUUACACAACUUUAUUUUAUUUUAUUUUAUUUUUUUAAAAAAGUAGUUUCAAUGUAUGAAUGUAAAAUGAACGUACUGUUCCCCAAAACUCAAAUGUGGUUUGUCUGUGG